Molecule: ribosomal RNA, 160 nt
Filed under: Trioncinia retroflexa
Lineage: Eukaryota; Viridiplantae; Streptophyta; Magnoliopsida; Asterales; Asteraceae
Description: 5.8S ribosomal RNA
Rfam family: 5.8S ribosomal RNA
About the family: 5.8S ribosomal RNA (5.8S rRNA) is a component of the large subunit of the eukaryotic ribosome. It is transcribed by RNA polymerase I as part of the 45S precursor that also contains 18S and 28S rRNA. Functionally, it is thought that 5.8S rRNA may be involved in ribosome translocation.
Source: RNAcentral
ACGACUCUCGGCAACGGAUAUCUCGGCUCACGCAUCGAUGAAGAACGUAGCAAAAUGCGAUACUUGGUGUGAAUUGCAGAAUCCCGUGAACCAUCGAGUUUUUGAACGCAAGUUGCGCCCGAAGCCAUUCGGUUGAGGGCACGUCUGCCUGGGAGUCACG